This is a long non-coding RNA of Anas platyrhynchos (mallard), 5193 nucleotides long. RefSeq lists it as uncharacterized. NCBI's taxonomy places the organism in Eukaryota, Metazoa, Chordata, Aves, Anseriformes, Anatidae. The record is from RefSeq and is a predicted model, not a curated record.
AGUAGUGGAUGUACCUUACUGGGGUGUUUUUAUAUCCUUGGAGGUUUGGAAAAUUAAAUCUUUUUUCAUCCAGAACAGAUACGAACUGUUGGAGGAAUAGCAGUCUUUUUGUUGGAAUGGACCUGCAUAAAAGACUCAACUAGCCAGCAUUGCACUCAAAUUAAUUACAUUUUAAGGGCUGAAUGGAAACCACAUGAAGAAGGCAGAUAUAAAUGUCCUUAAUGCAAAUCUGCAAUACUGUUUGUGCUGACUUCUUUUCCCCCUGCUUUCAUGUCCAGCCAGACAGUCAAGCCUGCUUCAUGUCCCUUACAGACUGCUUGCACUCUGAAGACAUGAAAAUUGAAAACAUUUCACAGAAUCACAGAAAGGACAAGGUUGGAAGGGACGUCUGAAAUCAUCCAGUCCAACUCCCUGCCUUGCAGGCUCACCUAGAUCACAUUGCACAGGAUGGCAUCCGGGCACGUUUUGGAUAUUGCCAGAGAAAGAGACUCCACAGCCUCUCUGGGCAAACUAUUCCAGUGCUCUGUCACCCAGAUCAUCCCUUUUUCCUGCAUUCUGUGAAAGGAAAGUAUAUUUCUUACAUUUAUAUUUUUAAUGUAAAUGCUCAUUUGGAAAAAGCUACUGAUGCUAAUGAGUAUUUCUUCCAGAAAUGGGAAGGUUGAAAAAUCUUUUGGUGAAGGAGAUUCAGGAUGAAUGACAACCUUCUAAAACAGGAAUGAAUUUGAUUGCGUCUUUUUUUAAAACCUGCUACCAGUGAUAUCCUAGAAAUAAUUAGUAAGUCAGUGUUAUUUGCUGUUUUUUUUCUGACUAGCAGACCAGGACACUGCAUUCAAUGCUAUGGUAAAAAUCUGAGUUGGAGUACUUGUGAUUUUAUAUUUUAAAUUAGACACAGAUCACGCAGAACGUACUGCUAACUCACGUGGUGGAGAUUAAUUUGUAUCUAUAAAUAACCCUGAAAAAUAUAUAUGUUCCCAGUUUUACUUGGACAUUCUCCUAAAACUUUUGUCUUGUGAAGAUUGUGCUUCUUCAUUAUUAAAAAUAAAAUAAAAAAAAACCCUCCCUCAUUCUAUACAAUUUUAUUUUUUCCCUAUACAAACCACAAUAAAAUUGGAAGAAUGUCCAUUCUUAUUAAAGCUGUUUCAGGCAAAGUAAUUUAUUACAACCACAAAAGUAUUAAUGAUACACCAAUUGUUAAAAAUGAAGUUUUAGAGACAUCUCAGGGUUCUUCACCAGCCUCAGAGUUCAAGGGAGACUAAUGUAGUGCUUUCGCUUCUUUUGGAGGAGAAAAAGAAAAUAAAAGUAAGCUUUAAUAUUAUUAUAAUUGCUUAUCUGAGAAACUGAGAAGAAUUAUGCUAAGCCUAAAUAUCAUUGAAUUUUGCGUUCACAGGAUGAAAUCCAACCAGAAAUUCUAUUUUCUCAGAAGCUGAUAAUGGGUAGCUCCAUGUAAUGUGCCAACACCUCCAAAUAUUUGUCUUUGUUCAUUGUGUUUCUAAUUUUACUGAAGACUUAAUGCAAGUUGAUGACUUGGAAAGGAAGCGUUUCUAAAAUCUGCAUAGUUAUUGUGGGAUAGCAAUAGUCGUAUUAUGUUCCUUUCACAAUAAGAUUAAAUCUGUCGUUGUUUAUUUUUAUGGCCCUCCUAAAUUUUAUUUAUUUAUUUAUUUUAAGGUCUAAACCAGUCUCCUUUGCUUUCAGUCCACUUUUACGGUACAUUCAACACCUCAGAGUCAAGCCAAUCAUGAUCACCAACUUCGGUGAAGCUGCCUGUACCGUGAGGACAAGCUUACGAGUGGCCUCCGACCCAAAUGCAUGUGCACGGCUCCCAGUCUUUGUAGCUGUAUUGCUCCAGGGACUUCUCCGUCAAAGCAGGGAACGGGACAACCUAUCACCUCUGCUGGUGCCAGGUGAACCUUGGCCCCAUAUACAGGAGAGAAGUUGGUGGAAGGACAAUUUCAGUGCAUUUGGGUGAUGACCAGACUGCCGUGCUUUAAGCCAAAAUGUUCUGAUGUGGAUGGGCUUUCGAGCUGAAACCCUUUUGUCUUCUAGCUGGUAGGGCGUGGAAGACUGCAGGAUGGGGUUAGAGAGUUGAUUAACAUCUGUACUCCCUUCUGGGGCCUUGUUCUGGUUUUGAGGCAAGAGUAACUUGGUGGCUAUUCAGCUGUGCUUUCCCCCUGCCAAAUCAGGCAUCCCAGAGAUCCAUGUCUUACUUACUCAUCACAUUUUGCUUUGUGUUUGUGUGUUAACAUUCCUUGCUGAAGCCAUGCAGUAUCGCAUCCCACAUGUCGACCAGGGUGUUGUUCUCAGUGUGGGAAAAUAUUGGAAAAUGAAAAGAUUUUUUUUUUUUUUUUUUUGGCAUUCAAAGUUUAUAGCUCAGAAACCUGAGGUAAAUGGUAUGUUACUACUGGGCCAAGGGGUCACCCUGUCUCCAUAAAACUGCCUCUUGCAAUGUGAUAUGAGCCAUUGUUCAGCCCUUGGGACAGACAGGGAGUUAAAAGGUGAGGCUGUCAUCCUCCUUGCGUCCCCUAGGUGCAGAGUGUUAUGGAGAGAAAUGCACAUGAGGGGAAGAUUUCUGAGCAUGAAAGACAGAAGGGUAUUUCAAUGUAAUUAGAGUUCAUCAAAUCUGUCAAAACUGUGUAGACCUGUGCAACUAAAGUGAGUGCAGCUGUGCUCUCUGCAUUGCACUUCAUGUUGUAUUUCAUGGGUAGCCAUAACUGUAGGUUACAAAGCUUGUUUAAUUUAUACUGGCAACGCUGAGUGUCUAGGAAAUAAUAGUAUAGUGGUGAUGUGUGAAUCUCAAAGUAUUCAGAGGUUUGUUCUGGUUUGGACUUUACUUUUUUGGACUUUUUUACUUUAGCAGUAAAAAGCACAGAUGCUGAUCCGAGCCUAUUGGGUCUCUCCAAACAGGCUGGGGACCCCAGUACAGAAGAAGUCUCCUAAGUUUUUUGGCCACUGCUAGAUUUAAUUUUGAACUGGAUGGGCCACUGCCCAAGGCAACUGCAACCAAAUGGUAGCAAUCAGCAGCAAAGAGAGCCAGAGAGAAAUGCAAAAGCUACACAAGUAAUGUAGCCGGGUUUCAUUUCAGUUGAACUCUGGCAUGUUUCUUCUUAUUGGCUCUGAAAUGUCUUGGCACGUAGAUCAAGAUAUCCAAGUGUUGUGGGUUAACCCCAGUAGGCAGCUAAGUGCUACAAAGCCACUUGCUCACUUCCACCCAUGGCCCCCCAACCCCAGAGGGCCAGGGGAAGAGGAAAAGAAGAGGAAAAGCAAGAAAACUUGGGGUCACAACACAGUUGCUUAACAAGCAAAGAAGAGGUGAAGAAGAAAGAAGGAAAACAAGAGAAUUGAUACAAAGCAAUCACUCACCACUUCCCAUGGGUAGAACAACGCCCAGCCAGCUCCCAAGCAGAAGAUGUCAUGGCAUUAUUUGGCCUUGAAUAUCUCUUUGGUUAGUUCUGCCUGCUCGUGUCCCCUCCCCACCGCCUGUGUGCGUCCCAAGUCUGUUCAUUGAAGGGCAGAGGGAGAAGCAGGGAAGGCCCUGAUGCUGUGCAAACACCCUGCAGCAACAGCUAAAACUUGGGCGUGUUAUCAGCAUUGUUUUUGUCACAAAUCUAAAACAGGACCAUCCGAGCCUUUAUGAAGAAAAUUAACUCCAUCCCAGCCAGGCCCACUGCACCAAGCAAUUUGAGCAGAAAUUUACUCUUCAUCCCUUUGGAAAUGCUUUAUGCCUGCAGUUCAGGAAGCUCAGCAGGAACCUGCGUCUUCAAACUGAGACUCCAAUGUCAGGCUAAUCUGUUCCCACGCAUGCCAGUUCCACCAGAGCAGGUCUGCCUUCAGAUACUUUGCUCUUUUCAACCGUGAAGGCACUGAAGGAAGAUAAUCUGAUGACCGGUGUAGAAGGAAGUUGUUGGGGCAGUCAUCUUGUCUUUGUAGCCAAAAUAGGUGGCAUAAAGAGUUUGAAACAAGGAACACUGAAGGUACUUGGCUACAAACUUACAUUUUUUUUGGCACUUCAAGGGCUUGCAUUUUAAAGAACAAUGUAUCCCCAGCUUUAAUUCUGUUUUACAUAAGCACUUCUAUUUAAGAAGUACCUUUACCUUUACUUAAAAGGGCAAAACUAACUGAAUAAUUUGCACUUCCAAGUGUAGUGAGACCUGUAUUACAUCUGAAGUUCACCGGAGACUGACAGCUCCUACGAGGUACCACAUUGAUUUCUCAGGAGCUUACCAGUUUGUAACCAGCCUGAACAAAAGAAGUACUGGAGGCCUCACAGAAGUUUUUAAGAUUUGUUGGCAUGACCUGUGGGGCUUGCAACUUCUAGGGAGGACAAAUGCUCUUUAUGAAGAUUCCUGGUCUCAGAAUCAUCUCUGGAGUGCAGACUGACAUCUCAUUGCCUCCUCUUUAAGUUCUAACAACUAGUAAAAUUUCACUGAAGGAAAAAAAAAAAAAAGGAAAUACGUCAGUUACGAUAUCAAUAAUGUCCAUGAAGCACGAUGUGUAUUCUUGCAUUUGUCUAUGAAAAGGCAAUGGUCAGGAGAAGAAUAUUCCUGGUUGUAGAUCUUGAAGACAAAACAAAAGGCUGACUGUUUGUCUAAUUAACAUACCUGUGACAGGAAGGAAAGCCAUGCACAUCAGCUCAGUGCCCAGAAGGCUCGCCGGAGCAGGCUGGUGAGUAGCACGGUAGCAGGCCUGUGGCCAUCCUUUCUUGUGUCCUGUGCACUCUGCACGUAUCCGUGCCACGUUGUUCUCCAGACCUCCGUGCUGUGCGAGCUUGCUGCUGGGAGGGGAGAACAAAUGUGUCUGGAAAGCUUCAACAUCUGCUGUAACCAUGAGUGCUUUGCUGGAUGAGCUCACCAGCAGGUAGGACAGCUCGUUCCUCUGGUCUGCUAUCAUUAGCUAGCCACCGUUGCUGACCCUCGGAGAAUUGUUAAUGCUUCUUUUUGGGCUUGAGAAAAGGUUAGUCAGCCGAAUAGGUAUUUUCUGCAUGGCCGAAAGGGAAGGACAAACAACUCUUUCCAAAGCGGCUGUGAAAGCAGCUUCUGCAUGUAUAGGAUAGAAGACAAAUGUGCUGGACAGGUUUUCUGUUACUUAUUUUCAUUUUUAUGUUUUCACAGAAUGAAUUUUAUCCAUGGGCAGGGGACUGAAGAAAUGUGCGUAUGAUUGCUCUACCCUCAGAAGAGGAUCUGAGGUGAAAAUGAGAGG